CCCACCGUACGAGUGGACAAAAAACCAAAAAAAAAACACAUCCCUCCCCAAUCCCUAGCUCCUCCCCCCGUCUCCACCCACAGCCGCCGCCGCCGCACGCCCGCAGCCCUCCUCCGCUCCGCUCUGACCAUCCAAAUGGUGCUCCUCCUCAUGCCCACGCCGUCCUCCUCCUCAAGCCAUCACCGUUGUCUCCCCUCCUCUGUGACCGGCCUGCGUGAUCCCAACGCGGGGGACGACAUUAACCAUGGAGCGGAGCCCUGUGGGACGAGGUGGAGAUUGGAGAAUGCCGCGGCGAUGAGGGGCACCACAUACGUGGUACCACUACGCACCAUGGUGGGGAUGAGAGGUGUUGUAGCCCUUCCAUCGAGCUCGACUCCGGCGGUCCACGCCGGCAACGACGAUAACAUGAUCCCUACCAGUGAUGAGCACGACGUGCUCCGGCCCAACCGCCUCGACCUCCACAAGCCCCGUCGAGAUUCGUCAGCCCACCCUUCUCUUCUUUCACCACCAGGGGUUGAGGAGGAGCACCAUCAACUCACUUGAUUUUAUUUCAAUUUUCUAUUCAGCUCAAAGAGGUUCUGCGGUACAGCCUAGGAAAUAAAAGCGCGUCGACCUUGGAGACGACUGCGAUUGUUUGACGUCCUUCACAACUCACAACUGCUACGGUGCUUCCCGACUCCUUUUUGACUUUCGUCCCCAUGAGUUUUGUUGUUCUGCCGUGCUUGUCCUCUCAUUAUUUUGGAUGAAGUGCGUUGGUCAAUUUCUGUUGGAAGCAGCAACAGCAAUAUCAAAAGAACUGAAGAUCUGUUACAAAUUAGUAUAUGUUUUUCUAUGGAUGUGUUUGCUAGACAGGCUUAGGCUGGAUAUUUUGCUUCGUGCUGAUUGGGCAAACGGCUAUCAACACCAAUGUUAGCACCAUCCAUCUUUCUAGCGGACUUCCAAGCACGCAAGUAUGAGAAUACCAUGGCCAAGGAUCAUAUGGUGAUGCACCGCGGCAGGGCCAUCGGGAUGAAAAAGAGGCUUUUUUCUUGCCCCACGUUGGCCACACCACUACCGCCUACUCGACAAUGAAAGCCGUUGGACCUUGUCUACUUACCAGAGCGGGUUAUAGUUUGAUAAUCAAAUAUCUAGCUCUGUCAUGCAUCGGAGUGGAGUAUCACCGUGGCAAGAGACUUCAGAAAUACCACUGCAAUGCAUGGGAGUGGAGCCUCACCAUGGGAAACCAUCCCGCCACCGCUAGGGAGCUCUUGGUUGCACCGCAAGCUGCAAUGCCUUGUCGCUUGUGUCACUUAAGCGCUAUGGCCUCUCGCUGCUCAAAAUUGAUAGUUUGGUGCAGUGUCAUUCUUUGUCCCUUGCGCUCAUGAGGGGAGAGAAAGGGAGAGCAGAGAGGAGUGUGGACGCAGUGCUAACUGGUAGAUACGGUCUGUGUGUAAGGCGGCAGUGAUCUGCUGGUAUGAUUCUCGGUGAGCCAAGGUAACAGAUAGCCGUUCCAUCCCUUCUGGCGCCCUGUGGAGCCUGGCCAGAGUUUCCGUCAAAGCUAGGUAGGAAAGUAAGCUUUUCUGUCUUAGUUGCCGAGCAAGCUACAGUUAUCUUUCUUUGAAAAGCUACGCUUUGUUGCAUUGCCACAUGUCACAUGUAGGUUGCUUAUGAUAUGCCCCAAUAGUGGAGAGUAUUUAUCAUAAAACUAUCACACUACAGGUUUCAUCGGUCCCACAGAACUACCGGUUUAAAAAACGUCAAAAAAACCAGAUUAUGCUAAUUUUUUGCCUAAAAACUACCACUUGCGUUAGAUGACCAUUUUGCUGGUUUUAAACGUGUUAUGACAUGUGGGACCCACUUGUCAGGGCUGAUGCGGCAGCAAAGUGAACUCCGUUUAUUCGGACUGUUAUAUUUGCCGUUAUUACCUUCUUCUUCCUCCUCUUUCUUUCCUAGGCAUUUCAACCAACACCUCGUCUUCGUGCCCCACGACAAGCACUGUUGUGGUCCAUGUCGUUCACCUGGAGGCUGUUGUAGUCGAGGAUGACGCCUGACUAGGCCCCGUGCGGUGCAUGGGCUUGUCGUCUUUGGUGGUGCUGUCGAGGACGCGAAGCUCGCCACUGGUCAUGAGCGCGAGCGACAACGAGGCUGCCUCGACCGCGUUCAACCAUCGGACGCUCAUCGACCAUGUGUACUUUCUCGGGGAAGGAGUAGCAGGUGGCAAGGAGAUAGAUGUCGCUUUGUCUUUGAGAGUGGUUAAGGAGACGAUGACUACCGGACGAAAGAAGAGGUAGAGAUAAUUGGUAUUUGUUGCCAUUAUAUGAAUGGUAGCCACACGUCGUCAUGUUCGAGUCACAUUUCUAAAUUAGAACAAUUGUGUGAUUGGUGCAUUUUCUGUUAUUCCAUGGCAAUGCAACGGCAGCCCACGGAUCGACACGAACAUGGCGAGGGGAUUGGGGCGGAGAGCGGGGUGGUUGGCGGGAGACUCCUCCUUGCCACUCCAUGGGGAAGUACGAUGUGAAGCGAGAGGGUGCCGUGGCGAAGCUGAGGUGGGCGGUCUCUGGUUUAAAGGAGAGGACUCCAACAAGAAAUGUUUCACUACGGCAUGAAACCGAGAGGGAAGGGGAGGGUCCGUCAGGAAAAGAGAAAUGUGUGUCAUGAUUUAUUUUUCUUCUCUCUUUUGGGAUCGUGUGUUGUGGAUAACAUGAUAGAUACUCCGGGCAAUCACAUUUUCCCCUCACAUAUGGGUUGGAUUUGGGGGAGUCCGAACUGUCCAGUCAGCUGAAUUUUGGGGAGCCUGUUGGGCACCCGUUUGAUGUCCAAACACGUCCAGACGUAUGAGGGAGAAAUGAGCGUCGACCUUGGAGACGACAUUACUGCAUUGUAGCUCGUAGCAACUAUUUAAUGGCUCUUUCUAAAAAGUUUCCAUUUUAGUUUACUGAAUAUGUUUUCUUGCUUGAGUUAUAUCAGCUGGGCAAGUGCUAGAACCCAGGAGCAUAUGAUUUUGCUGCUCUUGAGAUACAUGCCAAUAUUGCAAUCUUGACUGUGCAACUAUAUAGACAAGGGAUUGCAUUUCUACAUUGAAGGUUCAGUGUUGAAGCUGCUUGCAUUGAGCUGCAAUAGAUCUUGACUUCGGCAAAAAAGAAGGGCGGAGUUGUCUUAGAAGAAUUGUCUAAAGAGCUAAAAAGUUUUUUUUUUAAACAGAGGCAAAAGACUUGCCUCAUUCAUUAAUAAAGGAGGAGAGUUUUAGAGUACAUAAAAGUGGCUCCACAACAUGGCCCGUCCGUCAACAAAAUGAAAAACAGAAACUACUCUCGCGGCAUGAUAAUGCUCAGUGAUGCGUGUCUCCAUACCCGGGCAUGUCUUCCUCAAUUUUAGUGGAACUGCAUAAAAUUGGAUGGUCAUUGUUGUUCCGCCUCACUGUCCUCUGCCACGUGG
This is a long non-coding RNA of Triticum aestivum (bread wheat), 3414 nucleotides long. RefSeq lists it as uncharacterized. NCBI's taxonomy places the organism in Eukaryota, Viridiplantae, Streptophyta, Magnoliopsida, Poales, Poaceae. The transcript has 7 exons. The record is from RefSeq and is a predicted model, not a curated record.